GAAAGGGUUUCGCAUUUUGCUGUGGAGCUACAGAUAUCGUUGUUGGAGAGGCCCGUGCCGAAGCUUUGUUGGCAAUGGCACGUCUGUGAGCUUGCAUGCUGCUUUGAUACCACCGAAAACAUGGGAGAUUAAAGUUUACACCGCGCUCAAAUACGUUUUAGGUUGAAUUUUAUACUUGUCAGGUUCUUUUUGCUGCUCUGAAACUGCAGCUUGCGCUUCACGAGUCUGUCAACUUGCAGUGCCCAGAUAAGAGCUUCGUAGGUCUAGACGUGAAGCCCGCAAGCUCCUGCACCGUUCUGUCCUUGCAUUUUAACGAGCAGGGCACGGCGUUACGAUGUCAUCACCGAAGUAAUCGAUGUGGGGUCCCUCGCAAAAUUGAGCUUACUCGUAGCAGAUGUGCUUGGCUGAAGCUUAUCACCUUCCUUGGUCGACUCGUUUAUUGGCUUUUCAUCUCGUAGAUUCAGGGCAAGCAAGUUUUUGAACGAAAUUGGGCGGAUUUGGUGCCAUUUUGUGUCUGCAGCCCUCUGUUGGGGUAGCUGCGCGGUUUGGUGUUGCCGAAGAGACCUGUGCGUGGAUUUUCUUUGCACUUAUUUUGCUGGUCUGCAUAUUCUCCUUUUGAAUGUUGAUAAAUUUAGUUCCAGAAAUUGAUGUAUCUCAUAAUUUGUGGGAUUGCUUAGUGUGAAAUUUUGCGAAUUAGUCUUUGCUCAUCUCGGCGGAGCAGCCUGCUGAACUGUACCAGUUCGAUGUGGACAUGGUACUCAUCAAAGUCCUAGCACGGAUGGGUUUGGGGUUGUCGAGUGGUUCGGGCUCCAUUGAUUUGAUGUACAGUAGUGCUCUGGAGAACGUUUGAGCUUGAUGUGCAUGUAUUCUGCCCGGAAAAGAAAACCAACGUUGCGCUUUAGCCCCUGAAAAUGCAUCUUCUAUUGAACGAACUUUUUCUUUCUGACAAGCCGCUUCGAAUCAGAUCUAUCGGGAUUAAUCUUGUUUCAGAUAUUCGGGAUUGUUCAAGAGGUAUUCAUUUUUUUCUCUUUUAAAACAUGAAUCUGAACUGAAACGUAAAGCACCGAUCGAUGAUGACCUACUUUGUUGUUGCGAAGUGUAGUGCGCUGUGAGCGAGCUCUUUAAAAUCACAUGAACGUCGUUUGGCUCAGUUUAAUGACGAUCGUCGAUUAGGAAAACAAAAAACCACGUUUGGGAUUAGGGACAAAAGCUCUGGAGAUAUUCAACCUAUUUGAUGAAAUGCACUUUGAACGUGAACUAUUUGACUUCAGUUGGGUCGUAUUUACUAGUUGUUUGUGGGAUAUGUUUUUGGGAGCUUGGCAUUUGAGUUCUUGUUGUCACAACCUAGUAACAAGGUGAGAUUUAAAGCAAACAAAGACUUAGCACAGCUUAGCCUUUAGCAUUGGUCAUAUGUGAGGAUAGUUGUAUAGUUCUGUUUUUCCUGGCAAAACUUUUCACAGUACGUUUGUUUUGCAGUUAUCCUCUCAAAGCCUGUGUUGUUGGCAGGUGAAGCUACUUCGUUUAAGCAGAGGUAGUUUGGUUGCAUUUUUAGCAGGCCCUGAGACUCUCAUUGUUUGACAAUGUAUGAUGGUCUAACACUAUUAAAAGAAAAGUUUGGCUUCAACAAGGGUCUCGCUUUCAUUAUCGGACCAUGAAUGGCAGUCUCAACCGAGUCAGUUCAAAACAAUAUCCUUCUAUAAAUGUUAUUCGAGGUUUUGGUUCAUGUGCGACGAAUCAAAUCGAAUCUAAUCAAGUGUGUUAACUGCAAAGACUGCAGACGGAAAUAAUCUGGUCCAAACACACCCUAUGUAUUGCUCUGAAAAUUUUCGAGAAUCAGAUGCUAGCUCAGCCUUUUUCGUCAGCUUCUAAGUGGGUUUCUGUCUUGGUCAAUCUUUCUAACUAGGACUUGAAGUCCAUAGCUCAAACUGUACCAAUCUUGACCACUGUAAGUUAGGUUACAAGGGUGGGUUGGAGGGAGUCAAAAGUUAAUCUGUGCAGGAUGGUUUAAACUUAGCUUACGCUGAGGUAGGGUUGGAGGCCUCUGGACCUGAAUUUUUUGUCCUCGUUAUCUAGUAGUAUAUUUCGAGUUGAGCUAAUAAAUACGAAUUCCCCGACUGGGGUUUUGGACUCUAGAGAUGUGAUUGCUGUGUAACGCACUGAUGUGUUUUCCGUUUUCUGGUCGUUCGCUGCACUUCCAGACUUAUUAAAGUAGAGACAUUCACGCAAGACAAUGUGACACUGAAUGUCCUAUGCCUGAACUCACAGAUGCAACUUUGCAGCACAAAUUGCGGUUUAUGUACAAUAUUGCAUUCAUACAUCCCAGCCAUCUGCCUCCAAGACCACAACGAAUAACUCAAAAUCACGCACUCAUCCUAGUGUUUCAGCAGUCUCAAUUCAAUUCCAAGUAUUGUCUUCUAGCCCCUCCGACUCGAUGUUUGCUCUGACGUCUCAUUUUUAGCCUAGUUUAGAAACAGGUUGCAUGCACCACUGACAACCGCUCUCUUAGAAUGAGUCAGAGUCUGCACCUUAAUCUUCCUUAACCACCUAUUUUUCUCGAUCACCUCAACAAACACUAGGAUCGUCAACUGCGAUAUUCGGCUGUAAAACAUGCUCCAUCAAUCUACGGGGUCAGCAUCCUUACAAAAUGAAGUAGAAUAC
Molecule: long non-coding RNA, 2658 nt
Filed under: Physcomitrium patens
Lineage: Eukaryota; Viridiplantae; Streptophyta; Bryopsida; Funariales; Funariaceae
Description: long non-coding RNA (PPAT_LNC004026)
Source: RNAcentral